RNAcentral lists this ribosomal RNA (429 nucleotides) under Gemmatimonadota bacterium. Its description in RNAcentral is "Gemmatimonadetes bacterium partial 16S ribosomal RNA". It matches the Rfam family "Bacterial small subunit ribosomal RNA", at positions 355 to 776 of the family's 1533-position model. The record is from RNAcentral. Lineage: Bacteria; Pseudomonadati; Gemmatimonadota.
UAGGGAAUCUUCGGCAAUGGACGAAAGUCUGACCGAGCAACGCCGCGAGAGUGAAGAAGGUUUUCGGAUCGUAAAACUCUGUUGUCAGAGAAGAACAAGGACGUUAGUAACUGAACGUCCCCUGACGGUAUCUAACCAGAAAGCCACGGCUAACUACGUGCCAGCAGCCGCGGUAAUACGUAGGUGGCAAGCGUUGUCCGGAUUUAUUGGGCGUAAAGCGAGCGCAGGCGGUUUCUUAAGUCUGAUGUGAAAGCCCCCGGCUCAACCGGGGAGGGUCAUUGGAAACUGGGAGACUUGAGUGCAGAAGAGGAGAGGGGAAUUCCAUGUGUAGCGGUGAAAUGCGUAGAUAUAUGGAGGAACACCCGUGGCGAAGGCGGCUCUCUGGUCUGUAACUGACGCUGAGGCUCGAAAGCGUGGGGAGCAAACAGG